RNAcentral lists this ribosomal RNA (497 nucleotides) under uncultured bacterium. RNAcentral describes it as "partial 16S ribosomal RNA". It matches the Rfam family "Bacterial small subunit ribosomal RNA", at positions 28 to 507 of the family's 1533-position model. The record is from RNAcentral.
GAUGAACGCUGGCGGCGUGCCUAAUACAUGCAAGUCGAGCGAACAGACGAGGAGCUUGCUCCUCUGACGUUAGCGGCGGACGGGUGAGUAACACGUGGAUAACCUACCUAUAAGACUGGUAUAACUUCGGGAAACCGGAGCUAAUACCGGAGAAUAUAUUGAACCGCAGGGGGCAAUAGUGAAAGACGGCUGUUCGGGCACGUAUAGAUGGAUCCGCGCCGCAUUAGCUAGUUGGUGAGGUAACGGCUUACCAAGGCAACGAUGCGUAUCCGACCUGAGAGGGUGAUCGGCCACACUGGAACUGAGACACGGUCCAGACUCCUACGGGAGGCCGCAGUAGGGAAUCUUCCGCAAUGGGCGAAAGCCUGACGGAGCAACGCCGCGUGAGUGAUGAAGGUCUUCGGAUCGUAAAACUCUGUUAUUAGGGAAGAACAAAUGUGUAAGUAACUAUGCACGUCUUGACGGUACCUAAUCAGAAAGCCACGGCUAACUACGUG